This is a non-coding RNA of Pelobates cultripes (western spadefoot toad), 269 nucleotides long. NCBI's taxonomy places the organism in Eukaryota, Metazoa, Chordata, Amphibia, Anura, Pelobatidae. The record is from the annotation of a GenBank genome assembly.
CUGAGAAACCCUACCUUUCAGCCGACUGGUCUCCACUGUAACGAGCCGCACACCUCUGCCGCAAAGCCGGACAUCCUUCCCCAGCAUGCCAUGAAAGAGCCGCGAUGAACACCUGACAGCCGGCAUGCAGCAGUGGCUGGAGAGGCGCACGGAGGACACCCCCGAAUAGAGACUCACAUGGAUGUCUUGCCUGAGUGUCCCGCUGAACUACACCUGCAUACUAUGGGCACUACACAGGCAAGAUCCAGCACCCAUGAUGAACUGACCAC